CCCACUUUUUCACCUCUGUUAUUCAGAAUCUUUCCAUAUGAGAUAUCUUUUAGAAUAUGUUUCAAGGGGUAUAGAUCUAAAAUUACUUUACAGCUUUGUCUGAAUGGCUUAAUCUAAGCUUUCAUGAUCUGGGUGAUGACUACUUCUUAUAUUUCUUUCUCCUUCACAGCCAGGAUACCCUGUUUUUAUGCUGCUUGUUAAGAUUAUUUUGGUAUAUAAUUGGAUUUCUCUGACAUAUGUUGCUAACUAUUUGAGACACUGUGCAGUUGCAUCCAGUUUUCAUGUUUGUUGGCUUCAUUUUUCUAGCCAGCUAAGGUAAAUCCAGCCACUCUGCUUCUCCUUUCUUGAUAAGUGAUAUGAUCUGAAAUCAAGCUUAAGUCACAUGCUCUGUUUGUGUACAGGUAUUUGAUCUUACAAAAUAUUUCCUGUCAAAAAGGAUAGUCAGAAAUUGGUUCAUUUAAUCCUUCUAGGCCUUGCAAUCGUCCUGGGUGCCAUUGGGAUAUAUGCAGUCUUUAAAUUCCACAAUGAAAGCCAUAUUAAGAAUAUGUAUAGCUUGCAUUCAUGGCUGGGGAUUAGUGUCAUCUCUUUGUUUGGCCUGCGGUGGGUAGUGAGAUUCAUAGCAUUUCUUUACCCUGGCGCAUCAAAGAACAGAAGAGGAAGAAUAGUUCCUUGGCACUUGUUUUUUUGGGUUUUCCUGUAUGCAAUGGCAAUUGCAACAGUAGAGACAGGAAUUCUGGAGAAGCUUACAUUUGAAGAGAUUAAAGGGUUGAAUCGAUUCAGUUCAGAGGCUAUGCUUGUCAACUCUACAGUUAUUAUUAUACUUAUAUUUGCCAUGUUGGUCGUUUUAUCUACCAUUCUACCACGAGAGUAAUACAAAGCAAAUUUGGAAUUGUAGUAGGCUUCCUUGUUUCACCAAGGUCGUUCUAUCCACCAUCCUAAGGAUUGGAAUUUAGGUUUUUGAUAUCUUUUUUGUGAACAAAACCACUGUGAAAAAGAAAAUCUCUUGGUAAAUAUAAUAAAAAUGAUCGAAGUCAUAAUAAUAUGUUAGAAAUUUGUUUUA
Cryptomeria japonica (Japanese cedar) is the source of this 1060-nucleotide long non-coding RNA. RefSeq lists it as uncharacterized. The transcript is spliced from 2 exons. The record is from RefSeq and is a predicted model, not a curated record. NCBI's taxonomy places the organism in Eukaryota, Viridiplantae, Streptophyta, Pinopsida, Cupressales, Cupressaceae.